Molecule: transfer RNA, 20 nt
Filed under: Mus terricolor (Earth-colored mouse)
Lineage: Eukaryota; Metazoa; Chordata; Mammalia; Rodentia; Muridae
Description: partial tRNA-Thr
Source: RNAcentral
UAAGACUUCUCUUCUCAGAA